RNAcentral lists this transfer RNA (74 nucleotides) under Chloroflexota bacterium. Its description in RNAcentral is "Chloroflexi bacterium tRNA-Pro". It matches the Rfam family "tRNA". Rfam says of the family: Transfer RNA (tRNA) molecules are approximately 80 nucleotides in length. Lineage: Bacteria; Bacillati; Chloroflexota. The record is from RNAcentral.
CGGGGUGUGGCGCAGCCUGGUAGCGCACCUGAAUGGGGUUCAGGAGGUCGCGAGUUCGAAUCUCGCCGCCCCGA